AUUGAACGCUGGCGGCAGGCCUAACACAUGCAAGUCGAACGAGUGGCGGACGGGUGAGUAAUGUCUGGGAAACUGCCUGAUGGAGGGGGAUAACUACUGGAAACGGUAGCUAAUACCGCAUACCAUCGGAUGUGCCCAGAUGGGAUUAGCUUGUUGGUGGGGUAACGGCUCACCAAGGCGACGAUCCCUAGCUGGUCUGAGAGGAUGACCAGCCAAACUGGGACUGAGCAACGGUCCAGACCCCUACGGAGGGCAGCAGUGGGGAAUAUUGAACAAUGGGCGCAAGCCUGAUGCAGCCAUGCCGCGUGGAGGAAGAAGGCCUUCGGGUUGUAAAGUACUUUCAGCGGGGAGGCGUUACCCACAGAAGAAGCACCGGCUAACUCCGUGCCAGCAGCCGCGGUAAUAC
This 406-nucleotide ribosomal RNA is filed under the name uncultured bacterium. RNAcentral's name for it is "partial 16S ribosomal RNA". It matches the Rfam family "Bacterial small subunit ribosomal RNA", at positions 30 to 526 of the family's 1533-position model. The record is from RNAcentral.